CCGUCACAACGGCUUCCUGGCGUGACGGGGUUGUCUUAAUGGAGCG
RNAcentral lists this non-coding RNA (46 nucleotides) under Haematobacter missouriensis. RNAcentral's name for it is "SAM-SAH-Weickhmann-2018 RNA". It matches the Rfam family "SAM/SAH riboswitch aptamer". The record is from RNAcentral. Lineage: Bacteria; Pseudomonadati; Pseudomonadota; Alphaproteobacteria; Rhodobacterales; Paracoccaceae.